GUUCUUACUCCGGUGACGGGCUCCACCCAAAACUGGAAAGGGAAGACUCUUUCUGAGGGUUUGAUAACUGAGGAUGAAAUAAACAGUCAUCAGGCAAAUUAACAGGAGAAAAAGUAUAAAAAUAUAUUAUGUGCAUGAAGGAAUCUCAGGAAAGAAAGCAAGGAUGGAGAGGACCCCAGUAAGCUUGGAAACCACAUAUUGAAAAUGGUGUCAUGGUUCCACUCAGCCUAAUACUCUGAGCAAAGAUGUGGAGGAGUGUUAAACUGGCAUGGUCAUCAUAG
Homo sapiens (human) is the source of this 281-nucleotide long non-coding RNA. RefSeq lists it as uncharacterized. The transcript is spliced from 3 exons. NCBI's taxonomy places the organism in Eukaryota, Metazoa, Chordata, Mammalia, Primates, Hominidae. The record is from RefSeq and is a predicted model, not a curated record.